AUAGGAAAUAUUAUGAGAGCUUGUAUAAUACUUCACAAUGUGAUAGUUGAAGACGAACGAGAUGGAUAUACUCAU
RNAcentral lists this small RNA (75 nucleotides) under Arabidopsis thaliana (thale cress). RNAcentral's name for it is "ATSL155820". Lineage: Eukaryota; Viridiplantae; Streptophyta; Magnoliopsida; Brassicales; Brassicaceae. The record is from RNAcentral.